UGGUUUUUCAUGAAGAUGUCUUUCCCUUUGCCUCUUCAGGGAACAACUCUUCUGUAUCUUCUCCUAUUCUUUAUCCAUCUCCUAUUUACUUUCCUCCUACUGAUGAUUCCCUACUCAUUCCUUCUUCUUCAACCUCUUCCACAUCUGCACCUCCUCUUUCUCCCUCUUCAACCUCCCCUUCUUUGCACCAUCCUCUUCCUGCAGCUACUACACCUGCUCCUAGAAGGUCCAGCAGGACUCACAUUCCUCCUGCUCAUCUACAACAGU
This 267-nucleotide long non-coding RNA is filed under the name Nicotiana benthamiana. Its description in RNAcentral is "long non-coding RNA (NBEN_LNC013416)". Lineage: Eukaryota; Viridiplantae; Streptophyta; Magnoliopsida; Solanales; Solanaceae. The record is from RNAcentral.